AAAGAAUAUACAGCAACAAACAGUCAUCCAAUCAUGACAAUCACAUACCGGGGAGCUUUUUGAGUUGUCAUGAGUCACAGUUUG
This is a long non-coding RNA of Etheostoma spectabile (orangethroat darter), 84 nucleotides long. RefSeq lists it as uncharacterized. The record is from RefSeq and is a predicted model, not a curated record. The transcript has 3 exons. NCBI's taxonomy places the organism in Eukaryota, Metazoa, Chordata, Actinopteri, Perciformes, Percidae.